GGUCCUGCAGGCAUCGGUCACCUGGAAAGGACACCCCCGGGGGGGGGGAGGCGUCACGGCAGCAGGAGGAGCCCUCCUUCCGCAGUCAGGAGGCCCUGGUUCCGGCCUUCCCGGGCCUCUUCAGAAGCCUCGCCGCUUUGGGCACGUCGCUGACUCUCCUCGCCUCUCCCCCGGGGCCGGGGGGACGGCAGCGGAGGUGGCAGGUCAGUCCUAAGCAGUGGCCGCCAAGAUCGCGGAGAGGAGCCAUCCAGGCCGUGCCCGGUGUUCAACCCGCAAGACGGCCUCGACCCAGCAGCGGUGUCUGUCAAGCACGUGGAAGGAGCCCCUUCACAGCCGCCGCACUGACGGCCCGGGUCUUAAAGGCUCUUCCUUCGUUCAAGCCCAUCCUGUUCCCUCGUCAGAAGCAACUGGCCUCAUGUGCUGACGGUGGUUUUUGCCUUCACUUUUUUUUCUCUCUUUUUAGGGUCACACCUGCAGCAUAUGGAGGGUCCCAGGUACGGCCCUAAAAAGCCAAAAAAUAAUAAUUAAAAAACCCCAAAAAUCCCACCAGGCAGAAGGGGCCUUGACAGACCAAGUGAGGAAGGCUGGUCAGCUGGUGGGGAGGGGGUCAGCAGGACAGGACCUGGUACAGAUGGGGCAAGACUGGCCCUCGGGUGGCCUUUGAGGGUCUCGUUCUUAGAACGAGGGGCUGCAGUUACGGUUACAGGAGCGAGGGUGGGGGACGGGGGGCAGCCUUUGGAGGCCAGGUCCCUGCGUCAUCUCCUCCCUUCCCCUGGGGCCUCCCUCUGACCACCACCGUCCCUCGCUCAGGACCCAGCUACCGGUCUAUGAGCCGGGCACUCCGGUUUUCAGAAGACACGAGCAAAGACAACCCAAAGGGCAUUUCUAAUGCCCCCUCCCCAUUGCAUCACGGCAGCCUCCCUGCUGAAAGGGUGACAAGGGCCCUGCUGCUUCCACCUGGACAGCUGGGCCUGGAUGCCGGCUGUGGAGGGUGAGGCAUCUGGAGGGGCGCCUGGUGGGCUCCUGGGGUCACUUCCACCCUGGUUCCACAGGGGACAGGCUUGAGAGGAGAACGUUCACACACACCCAACUCCUCUGGCAGCUGGCGAUUCUGGUUCUGUCGCCGUUGCACAAGCCUGACUCCAAGCUCGGAGGCAGCACGGGCUGGGGAGAGCCACAGGGCAGGCCUCCUUCCCAGUUUCAAAAGAAAAGGAUGAGGCAAGAAGAGGAACCCGCAACAAGAAGUAAGUGGCAAGGGCAGAAAAGGGGCCGUAAAAACAGAAGGAAAGAGACGGACAACCACGGAGAAGGGGAACCUUCUGAGCUUCACGCUCUGGGCCCAGCUCUGCCUCUGGAGUCGCCAAGGAGGAGCCCACGCCUCCCCUCCCGAGCCCGGCCACCGUGACGGCAGCCAGGGCACUGGGGGAUGUGUGCAUGUGCGGGUGCGUGUGUUAACAGAUAUCACAGACACACACACAAACGUGUACACAUCCACAUCCACAUUCAGACACACACAGACACGGUACACCCGCACGUGAGCACACGCACUUACUUCCGCUAUUCCUCCCAAGUCCUAUGGUCGGUGGUGGCAGCAGAGCUGCUAUUAUUUGCUGCACAGAGACGUUAAGCGCUUUGCCCGGGGCUGCCAGCUUCCUGCCCAUCUCUGAGGCCUUCUGAUUUGUCGAUGCCCCCCCCCAGUGUGGAUCUAAAGGAAACACCAUGUUCCAGAGGGCCUGUUUCCUUGGGAGGGGCUGGGAUGGACAUGGCCCGAGGUCACAGCUACCUCGUCCGCCCUUUGGUCCUAGUGCAGAGCCUGCACCUCAGGGCAGUGCCCACGGCGGCGCCCUGCCCUGGACCUCGGCACAUUUGGGCUCCCCUGCAGUCUGAGGCUCUCCCUGGUCCCUUUCCUGCUGGGAGCUUGCAGAGGCUCUGGCUGUCAUCCUCGCUCUGGGCGCCACGGCGCUCACAUGGACCGGGUCAGGGCCUCUGGGGGCCAAGUUUAUCAGAGCUGCCCAUUUUCCCAAAGGUCCGACCGACAAGGCACUCACUCUGUGUGUCUGAGUGUCUCACACACUGGGGCCCUGGGCCAGGCACUGGGGCUCCUUGACGGCGAGGCUUGUGUGGCUCACUGGCCCCCAGGCCUCCGCCAGGUAGGUGGCUCUAUAAACCAAAGUCAAAAACCCACAAGAGAGAGACUGGCAUCCAGCUGAUGGCAGGACACACGGAGCAGCACCAACCCUCAGUACAAGCCGGCCUUCCCACAGCCAGGCAGACCUGCUUGCUUCCUAGCAGCUACAAAUGCGGGGAACGCCCCGCCCAAGGCCAGGGUCUGGGGGCAAUGAGUCACCAUCUGGCCGAGAGCAGGUCCCACGACACCAGCACACAGGGUGCCCGGGCACAGGGCCCUCCCUGCUCUAGCCUGCAUCCAGGCUCUUCAGAUGCACAGAGGUAGCCACGGGCCAGGCUCUCGAGGCUCUGGAGAAGCAAGGCCCACCUCCCGAGGCCAUAAAUCAUCCCGCAGGGGAGCCAGAGCAGGCAGAGCUCCAUGGAAAGAGGGCUGGCUGCAUCUGGAGGCUUGGUGGGGGGCAGCUCAGGGCCCAGCCGUCCCCAGGGUGCUGGCCAGGGCCCUCUGGCCCACAUGCUCCCCAGGGGCCCUUUCUCUGCAUUCCCUGGACUCUGCCCGCUCUGCCCCCCACCGCCCUCGGGCCUCGAGACAGGCAGAAAGAGGGCAGCCUCCUCAGUCAGGGUCUUGGAGGCCGGCCUGCCGCCGAUGAAGCCAUCUAUACAUCUGGGCACAGCCCCACUGAGAAAUACAUUUUUAAGAGGUUUCUACCCAAGUGAGGACGGGAAAUGUCUCCAGUGACGCCAGCGCUAUUAUUCCAACUUGUGGCUAGUAAAAUAUAAUAACACGUGUAAGCUGUUUUUACUACCUAUCUAGCUUAUUAGCUAAUAAAAUAAGCUCAGCAUUAAAAAUUUAACUGAAGCCAUUUAUCGCACCCAGAACUCAGGGCUCUGGGUUUUCCUUCAGAAGUCACCCAACUCUGUCACCUUUCCCGCCUUUGUUGCCUAUUUAAAUGUCUCCAGGAAGGAAAAUUCCACUCGCCCGUCCAACUUAAAUGCAUGUGUUUGACGGUUGUCUAGCUAGCAAAGCACUUAGGACAAAGAAAGGGGCACGCCUGGAGCGGCGAUGGAUGGAAGGGAAGCUGAAGAUGAGGGCAGCAGGUGGCAUCUGCCUGGUCCUGCCCGGCUCUUCCCCAAGCCAACCCCGCAGGGCACCACCCACUGGUCCUCCCGCUGCCC
RNAcentral lists this long non-coding RNA (3300 nucleotides) under Sus scrofa (pig). Its description in RNAcentral is "lncRNA (ENSSSCG00045026275.1)". The record is from RNAcentral. Lineage: Eukaryota; Metazoa; Chordata; Mammalia; Artiodactyla; Suidae.